CAGUAGCCGCGGUAAUACGUAGGUGGCAAGCGUUGUCCGGAACUAUUGGGCGUAAAGGGCUCGCAGGCGGUUUCUUAAGUCUGAUGUGAAAGCCCCCGGCUCAACCGGGGAGGGUCAUUGGAAACUGGGAAACUUGAGUGCAGAAGAGGAGAGUGGAAUUCCACGUGUAGCGGUGAAAUGCGUAGAGAUGUGGAGGAACACCAGUGGCGAAGGCGACUCUCUGGUCUGUAACUGACGCUGAGGAGCGAAAGCGUGGGGAGCGAACAGGAUUAGAUACCCCAGUAGUCCCUGUCUCUUAUAA
This 301-nucleotide ribosomal RNA is filed under the name uncultured bacterium. RNAcentral describes it as "partial 16S ribosomal RNA". It matches the Rfam family "Bacterial small subunit ribosomal RNA", at positions 509 to 809 of the family's 1533-position model. The record is from RNAcentral.